RNAcentral lists this ribosomal RNA (1528 nucleotides) under Clavibacter michiganensis. Its description in RNAcentral is "bacterial SSU rRNA". It matches the Rfam family "Bacterial small subunit ribosomal RNA". The record is from RNAcentral. Lineage: Bacteria; Bacillati; Actinomycetota; Actinomycetes; Micrococcales; Microbacteriaceae. RNAcentral also lists the same sequence under 1 other name.
UUUAUGGAGAGUUUGAUCCUGGCUCAGGACGAACGCUGGCGGCGUGCUUAACACAUGCAAGUCGAACGGUGAUGUCAGAGCUUGCUCUGGCGGAUCAGUGGCGAACGGGUGAGUAACACGUGAGUAACCUGCCCCCGACUCUGGGAUAACUGCUAGAAAUGGUAGCUAAUACCGGAUAUGACGAUUGGCCGCAUGGUCUGGUCGUGGAAAGAAUUUCGGUUGGGGAUGGACUCGCGGCCUAUCAGGUUGUUGGUGAGGUAAUGGCUCACCAAGCCUACGACGGGUAGCCGGCCUGAGAGGGUGACCGGCCACACUGGGACUGAGACACGGCCCAGACUCCUACGGGAGGCAGCAGUGGGGAAUAUUGCACAAUGGGCGAAAGCCUGAUGCAGCAACGCCGCGUGAGGGAUGACGGCCUUCGGGUUGUAAACCUCUUUUAGUAGGGAAGAAGCGAAAGUGACGGUACCUGCAGAAAAAGCACCGGCUAACUACGUGCCAGCAGCCGCGGUAAUACGUAGGGUGCAAGCGUUGUCCGGAAUUAUUGGGCGUAAAGAGCUCGUAGGCGGUUUGUCGCGUCUGCUGUGAAAUCCCGAGGCUCAACCUCGGGUCUGCAGUGGGUACGGGCAGACUAGAGUGCGGUAGGGGAGAUUGGAAUUCCUGGUGUAGCGGUGGAAUGCGCAGAUAUCAGGAGGAACACCGAUGGCGAAGGCAGAUCUCUGGGCCGUAACUGACGCUGAGGAGCGAAAGCAUGGGGAGCGAACAGGAUUAGAUACCCUGGUAGUCCAUGCCGUAAACGUUGGGAACUAGAUGUGGGGACCAUUCCACGGUCUCCGUGUCGCAGCUAACGCAUUAAGUUCCCCGCCUGGGGAGUACGGCCGCAAGGCUAAAACUCAAAGGAAUUGACGGGGGCCCGCACAAGCGGCGGAGCAUGCGGAUUAAUUCGAUGCAACGCGAAGAACCUUACCAAGGCUUGACAUAUACCGGAAACAUGCAGAAAUGUGUGCCCCGCAAGGUCGGUAUACAGGUGGUGCAUGGUUGUCGUCAGCUCGUGUCGUGAGAUGUUGGGUUAAGUCCCGCAACGAGCGCAACCCUCGUUCUAUGUUGCCAGCACGUAAUGGUGGGAACUCAUAGGAGACUGCCGGGGUCAACUCGGAGGAAGGUGGGGAUGACGUCAAAUCAUCAUGCCCCUUAUGUCUUGGGCUUCACGCAUGCUACAAUGGCCGGUACAAAGGGCUGCGAUACCGUAAGGUGGAGCGAAUCCCAAAAAGCCGGUCUCAGUUCGGAUUGAGGUCUGCAACUCGACCUCAUGAAGUCGGAGUCGCUAGUAAUCGCAGAUCAGCAACGCUGCGGUGAAUACGUUCCCGGGCCUUGUACACACCGCCCGUCAAGUCAUGAAAGUCGGUAACACCCGAAGCCAGUGGCCUAACCGCAAGGGAGGAGCUGUCGAAGGUGGGAUCGGUGAUUAGGACUAAGUCGUAACAAGGUAGCCGUACCGGAAGGUGCGGCUGGAUCACCUCCUUUCUAAGGA